AUUGAACGCUGGCGGCAGGCCUAACACAUGCAAGUCGAACGAGUGGCGGAGGGGUGAGUAAUGUCUGGGAAACUGCCUGAUGGAGGGGGAUAACUACUGGAAACGGUAGCUAAUACCGCAUACCAUCAGAUGUGCCCAGAUGGGAUUAGCUAGUUGGUGGGGUAACGGCUCACCAAGGCGACGGUCCCUAGCUGGUCUGAGCGGAUGACCAGCCACACUGGAACUGAGACACGGUCCAGACUCCUACGGGUGGCACCAGUGGGGAAUAUUGCACAUUGUGCGCAAGCCGGAUGCAGCCAUGCCGCGUGUAUGAAGAAGGCCUUCGGGUUGUAAAGUUCUUUCAGCUGUGAGGCGUUACCCGCAGAAGAAGCACCGGCUAACUCCGUGCCAGCAGCCGCGGUAAUUC
This 406-nucleotide ribosomal RNA is filed under the name uncultured bacterium. Its description in RNAcentral is "partial 16S ribosomal RNA". It matches the Rfam family "Bacterial small subunit ribosomal RNA", at positions 30 to 526 of the family's 1533-position model. The record is from RNAcentral.